ACACUCUAAAAACGGCUGGGUUAUUUUUUAACCCAAAAUGCUGGGUUGAGUCUGUUGGGUCAUUUUGUUGGGUUAUUUAAUUUCUUUUUAAACACUUUUGGGUAGUUUCAAUUUACCAGGUGUUGGGUUAAACCUGCUGGGUUGCGUCGCUGGGUUGUUUCAGGCCAGCGCUGGGUUAUUUAACGCGCCUUGAAGAUGUUUAAAUCGCUCCCCAACUGUCAUUUUGGAAGAACAACGGGGCAAAGCCACGGCUUUCAACUGUUUUAAGAAAAGCGCAUGGAUACAUUUGUGAGAGAAAAACUGGUCGAGUGCAGUCUUAUUGAGGCGUCUAACGGCAAGUUCGUGUUUAUUAUACAUUUUACAUAAUUGUUUGUCUGUGAUAAUCAACUAACGUUAACCCUCACGUAACUUAAACGCACAUAUAUUUUUAUUUCGUGCUAUAGUUAAAGCUGCACCAGAAUGUACCUAAUUUAUGAGCGUAAACAUCAUAUAUUAAUUUUCCAGAUCGUGUUUUUGACUUGUCCUUAUCACUUUGGUACAUCUGUAAGUUUUUAUAUAUGGACUGUUUUACCUACGUGACUUGUCAUAGAAAUGUCUGUUUGCGCGCAUGCAGUGUGAUCUCCCUUAUCUGUGCCAGUGACUGUGUGUGUUUGAUAUAGCCAGCAUAUUAACAUAAAACUGUGAUUUAUAAUGACUGGAACAUCCCAUUGAUUAGACAGUUUGAAAGCACACCUUUCAGCCAAUCACUAUAUCAUAUUCUGCUUCUGUAAACCAACUCAUAGGUGAAUUUAACUCAUAAUCAUGAUGGGUCAAUUUCAUGAUUAACUUCACACAGUUAAUUGAACUGAAUCACUGUUAUUAAAACAAUUUGUAUUUUUUCUUUUUUUUCAACUUUAUUUUAAAGGUUGGAACAAACAUGGAAUUCCUUAACUGAGCAGAGUCCACAAAACCCAUGACAGCAGAUCUCUCAGGCAUUGAUCAUAAUCAAUGGACAGGUCACCGUAGCCACCAGAUCCAGUCGGUAUCCAGAUCAGAGGGUCACUGCAGUCACCCGGAUCCAGUACGUAUCCAGACCAGAUGGUGGUUCAGCACCUAGAAAGGACCUCUACAUCCCUGAAAGACAGCGGAGACCAGGACAACUAGAGCCCAGAUACAGAUCCCCUGUAAAGACCUUGUCUCAGAGGAGCACCAGGACAAGACCACAGGAAACAGAUGAUUCUUCUGCACAAUCUGACUUUGCUGCAGCCUGGAAUUGAACUACUGGUUUCGUCUGGUCAGAGGAGAACUGACCCCCAACUGAGCCUGGUUUCUCCCAAGGAUUUUUCUCCAUUCUGUCACCGAUGGAGUUUUGGUUCCUUGUUUUUCUUUAGUUGGGGACAAUUAAUAUCAAGCGAUAUCAUCCACUUGAUUGCACAGAGGGACGAUAAAUCACUGAAUCAAUGACGAAUUGACUUUAACUGAAAACUGAGUGUUUACUUUUGUCCCUUUGCAUUAUUACACACUAUUUUCUUAUUUAAUAUUGUAAAGCUGCUAUGAUGCAGUAUUUGAUCAAUAUGACAGGCUUAUUACUCAUAAUACAUGGAAAAUACAGCUACAAACUGACUUUGUUUUUCCAUUUGAAAUUUGGCAGUCACUAAACUGAAACCGUAAUUUUUGUUCAGUGUUUUUGAAACAGUGUUUUGUUCAAGAUUUGCAAUUGUGUUUGGAUUGUCACAAUUUGUCACAUGUGCAAAACGCAAUUGAAAAUAUAAUUAGCAAUUCCUUUUGAAAAUUGUCCUUCCGUAGACAGGCUCUAUAACGGAGUACACUGCUCUCAGGUGUAGAUCUUUGCUUCAGAGCUUAAGUGUUUGACAAUAGUUCACCCAAAAAUGAAAAUUGUCACUAAUUAUUCACCCUGGUCUGAAAGCUCUCGAAUAUCAACGAAAAUAUCUUAACUUGUGUUCUGAAGAUGAACGAAGGGCUUACGGGUUUGUAACGACAUGAAGUUGAGUAAUAAAUGACAGAAUUUUCAUUUUUGGGUGAACUAUAUGUUGAACUACCCUAAGCAGUGCACAUCUACCUACGUAGGAGUCUUUAUAUACUUGAUAUAAAUUUAAGGACAUCUUUAAAUGAUUUUACAUUUAAAUUUAAAGAAUGUUAAUUGUCAAUGUCAUUUCACUGUGUAUUUAAAUAGCUAAAAAUCUCAAAAUGUAAUAGUUAAAAAGCUAGACACAGGUCAUUCAGAAAUAAUUUUCUUAUUUAUUGCAACUGUAUUUCUGUGAUUUUUAUUUAUUUAUUUUGCAUUUGCUGGAAACAUAAAAAGGGAAAAUUCCAUGUUGUUUGUCAUUGGUAAAUAUUUUUGAAUGUCAGAUGGCAUUAAAAAUAUGUUUAACAGUCUAAAUAACCUGUAUUCUUCAUUAUUUAUUAGUCCAUGAUUGCUUUGUUAAGCAAAAGUGAAAUGAGAAUAACCCAGCAAGAAUAACCCAGAAUC
Molecule: long non-coding RNA, 2470 nt
Organism: Carassius gibelio (silver crucian carp)
Lineage: Eukaryota; Metazoa; Chordata; Actinopteri; Cypriniformes; Cyprinidae
Exons: 3
Source: RefSeq, a predicted model, not a curated record